ACAGUGCUGAACUGAGACUCCCGAGCUUGACUACAGAUUCCUGAAUAAAACAGGGUCUUCAGCUCUGACUGAUUUUGAUUCUAACAUUUGUUCUGCUCUUUAGGUAUUUAAAUUAACCCAGAGAAUUGGGCAGUUGGGUUAGGAGCAGUUGUGAGAAUGACACGUGUACUAAUGGAAAAUUUUAAUAGACACACGGAAGCAUUCAUCAUCUCUGAGUGGGUGUCAGAGAUGAUGGCAAUGGAGUGGAAUGCAGUUCAACCAGGUGACUCAGGUUGUCAGAAAGUAGCCUACCAGAAGGUGCCACAGUGCUUAACAGUUCCCAGACCCUGGACAGGUCACCAGUCUGUUACAGGGCUAACACAUAGAGACAGAAAACCACAUUCACAUUAAAAAGACACGUGCGCAUACACACAUACACACACAAAUAGAGGUGUGUGUGUGUGGGGGGGGGAUUCUUAGCUCAACUGUUGGCUUACAAUAUCAUGAAGUGUAAGCUUUUCUCCCACAUGAGCCCCAGACACAAAGCAAGCAUGAACCUAACAGCAUGCCUCCAAAAAAAACCUUAAAGGAAAAUACAAUGAAAACCAGUUUCAAAAGUGAAAUGUUUAACAAAAUACAUGUAAAAAUAAAAUAAAUGUGUUUAAGAGGCUCACAAACUAUCAGGAGAAAAUAUGUGUAAAAAGGUGUGAAAAGAGCAGCUGAGACUGAACCAAAGGGAUUCGUUCAGGUUCAGUCGUCGGUCUCUGGAAGAUUCUCGAAUCACCGGCGAGAGCUGAAGCCACAACAGGGCCGUCGACGACGAAAGCCAAGUCCCGCAGUCGUCUGCGGCUCUGUGGGUGAAUAAAGAGUAUACGUCCGGAGAAAAUGCUCCUCACUUUGUACAACCGGGAGGCCCCGCUCUAUCUCUUGGAAACGAACAAUGAGACACCUGUGGACUGUACUCUACGUCAUCGUUGGAGCUACCCAAGGUAAUUAUUAUCAUAAAGAUUAUUUUUGCUUGGGGGUUGGGGUUGUUUCGUAACGCCAGGCAACGUUUGCUGAACAUCUACUGUCGUCUUCGAUGUAACAGCUACACCUGGAGAGCAUGUUGUUCUGAUGUGUCAAGAUCCAGAUAACAACUUCACAGGUGUAAAGUGGACCAGAGCUGACCUGGGAGAAGAAUAUGUCUAUUUAGAGCGGGACGGGCACUUUGAACCACGCAACCAGCAUCCGUCUUUUCACAACCGGGCGGCUCUGGAUGAGCGAGAGAAGAAAGAUGGGAAUGUGUCUUUAAAUCUGAAGAAUGUGACAAAAAACGACACCGGGGCAUACGAGUGUCGUGUCUUCAUCAAUGAAUCAUAUAAAUCCAUCUGCAAUGUCACACUAAGAGUUGUUGAUCCUCCAGGUCAGACAGGAGGAGACACAGAGGAUGGAGGGAAGGAGG
Haplochromis burtoni (Burton's mouthbrooder) is the source of this 1423-nucleotide long non-coding RNA. RefSeq lists it as uncharacterized. NCBI's taxonomy places the organism in Eukaryota, Metazoa, Chordata, Actinopteri, Cichliformes, Cichlidae. The transcript is spliced from 3 exons. The record is from RefSeq and is a predicted model, not a curated record.